GACGAACGCUGGCGGCGUGCCUAAUACAUGCAAGUAGAACGCACAGUUUAUACCGUAGCUUGCUACACCAUAGACUGUGAGUUGCGAACGGGUGAGUAACGCGUAGGUAACCUGCCUGGUAGCGGGGGAUAACUAUUGGAAACGAUAGCUAAUACCGCAUAAUAUUGAUUAUUGCAUGAUAAUUAAUUGAAAGGUGCAAUUGCACCACUACCAGAUGGACCUGCGUUGUAUUAGCUAGUAGGUGAGGUAACGGCUCACCUAGGCGACGAUACAUAGCCGACCUGAGAGGGUGAUCGGCCACACUGGGACUGAGACACGGCCCAGACUCCUACGGGAGGCAGCAGUAGGGAAUCUUCGGCAAUGGACGAAAGUCUGACCGAGCAACGCCGCGUGAGUGAAGAAGGGUUUCGGAUCGUAAAGCUCGGUUGUAAGAGAAGAACGGGUGUGAGAGUGGAAAGUUCACACUGUGACGGUAUCUUACCAGAAAGGGACGGCUAACUACGUG
Molecule: ribosomal RNA, 505 nt
Filed under: uncultured bacterium
Lineage: Bacteria
Description: partial 16S ribosomal RNA
Rfam family: Bacterial small subunit ribosomal RNA
Source: RNAcentral